AUUGAACGCUGGCGGCAGGCCUAACACAUGCAAGUCGAGCGGCAGCGGAAAGUAGCUUGCUACUUUGCCGGCGAGCGGCGGACGGGUGAGUAAUGUCUGGGAAACUGCCUGAUGGAGGGGGAUAACUACUGGAAACGGUAGCUAAUACCGCAUGACCUCGCAAGAGCAAAGUGGGGGACCUUCGGGCCUCACGCCAUCGGAUGUGCCCAGAUGGGAUUAGCUAGUAGGUGGGGUAAUGGCUCACCUAGGCGACGAUCCCUAGCUGGUCUGAGAGGAUGACCAGCCACACUGGAACUGAGACACGGUCCAGACUCCUACGGGAGGCAGCAGUGGGGAAUAUUGCACAAUGGGCGCAAGCCUGAUGCAGCCAUGCCGCGUGUGUGAAGAAGGCCUUCGGGUUGUAAAGCACUUUCAGCGAGGAGGAAGGGGUUGAGUUUAAUACGCUCAAUCAUUGACGUUACUCGCAGAAGAAGCACCGGCUAACUCCGUGCCAGCAGCCGCGGUAAUACGGAGGGUGCAAGCGUUAAUCGGAAUUACUGGGCGUAAAAGCGCACGCAGGCGGUUUGUUAAGUCAGAUGUGAAAUCCCCGCGCUUAACGUGGGAACUGCAUUUGAAACUGGCAAGCUAGAGUCUUGUAGAGGGGGGUAGAAUUCCAGGUGUAGCGGUGAAAUGCGUAGAGAUCUGGAGGAAUACCGGUGGGGAGGCGGGCCCCCUGGACAGAACUGACGCUCAGGUGCGAAAGUUGGGGGAACAAACAGGAUUGUAUCCCCUGGGAGCUAGAGGCGAAUCCGCAGGGGAUGCCGCCUAUUGAACGCUUCGGGGGGGGGGGGGGGGCCAUGAACCAGUUUGUUCUAUAAAGGGCGUUUGGUAAUGGCUACUGA
RNAcentral lists this ribosomal RNA (881 nucleotides) under uncultured Enterobacteriaceae bacterium. Its description in RNAcentral is "partial 16S ribosomal RNA". It matches the Rfam family "Bacterial small subunit ribosomal RNA". The record is from RNAcentral. Lineage: Bacteria; Pseudomonadati; Pseudomonadota; Gammaproteobacteria; Enterobacterales; Enterobacteriaceae.